Molecule: ribosomal RNA, 499 nt
Filed under: uncultured bacterium
Lineage: Bacteria
Description: bacterial SSU rRNA
Rfam family: Bacterial small subunit ribosomal RNA
Source: RNAcentral
GACGAACGCUGGCGGCGUGCCUAACACAUGCAAGUCGAGCGGAGUUGUCUUUAACACUGAGCACUCAGGAAUGAGUGUUAAGUGUUGAAGACAGCUUAGCGGCGGACGGGUGAGUAACGCGUGGGCAACCUGCCUCUCGGAGGGUAGAGUUGAGAGGUUGGAAGUUGGAGAAAGAGAAGAUCUUUUAUCUAAUUUCUAACUUCUCACAUCUAACCUCUAAACUGGGGGAUAACACAGGGAAACUUGUGCUAAUACCGCAUAACAUAUUGAAAGGACAUCCUUUUAAUAUCAAAAGGAGCAAUCCGGUGAGAGAUGGGCCCCGCGUCCAAUUAGCUAGUUGGUGAUGUAAUGGACCACCAAGGCGACGAUUGGUAGCCGAACUGAGAGGUUGAUCGGCCACAUUGGGACUGAGAUACGGCCCAGACUCCUACGGGAGGCAGCAGUGGGGAAUAGUUGCGCAAUGGGGGAACCCUGACGCAGCAACGCCGCGUGAAGGAUA